UAUCAAUAUAUCAAUUUCUUUCAUUCUCAAAGAAUUAUCGUCUUUAUAGUUAGGGCUUAUUUUGGUAAUGCCAUUGCCGUGUACUCCGUACUUGGUAUUUCUAUGGCCACUGCAAUUGCUAUGGUUUGUGAUUCCCUUUUUUUUUUUAACCUCGAAUUUGCACACUGAACGCAUGAUAUAUUUUUCAUAAUAUGCAAAGUAAACCCCAAGCAAGCAUCUAACUUUGUGAAUAGCGAUUCUCUCUUCAUUUUUAAUUGAAAGAUCAACAACUAAGCCACUAAGUGAUUAUAAUCUUCCUUUUCUUCUGUUUUGUAGCAGGUGUUUGUACACCCUUUCCUGAUAUCAACCGGAAGUAGAGUUUCUACACGAAAUAUCAAUCGUUCGACUCGGAACCGGUCUUCAAUUCUGACAGACUUAUUGUUUCACCGCCUCGUACUUGAGACACAGUCAGGGAUAUAGACUAAGUAAGGAAUGGUAUAUCUUUCAGAGUUCAAGAAAGGUGAUGACAUUCAUCUUUCGAUUAGAGACGCUGAGGAAGAUGAUCCAAAAACUGGAACCCAUUUUAUCAUUCAAAGGUCACUUCGGCGCCCUACUGGCAGCAUGAGAGCAUCUCUUGAUCAGUCAAUCUUUCGCAGUGAGAUGGCGAUCCAAGUGACUCCAGGAACUUCUAGUGAUCCCCCUUUUUAUGUUCUCAAAAGCACUCUCCCUGAUAGGUAUCAACUAGAUGCCUUGUCUCCAAUGCUUGGUCGUCGUAUU
Long non-coding RNA from Spinacia oleracea (spinach), 756 nucleotides. RefSeq lists it as uncharacterized. The transcript has 3 exons. The record is from RefSeq and is a predicted model, not a curated record. Lineage: Eukaryota; Viridiplantae; Streptophyta; Magnoliopsida; Caryophyllales; Amaranthaceae.